GAAGUAAUCCUUUUACCAUUCUUUUAUUUAUCUUUAGAGGAAAAUGAUUGCCUUUCUCCCACUUACAACCACGAGCCAUAAAGGUGCGUUUUCCAACUAGCAUAUUUCUCUGCACAUAUUGAAUCUAGUAACAUCUCUGGCUUUCUUCCUCAACUCUGUCAGACUGUAUCUGUCUCUUCUCUGCCGCUUUCUUAAGUCCUACGCUUCUCUCUCUUCCCGAAUAAGCUCGCUUCUUUCCGUUCUACAAAACACACCGACAUCUCUCUCUCUCUGAAAAUCAGUGCUCUUUCGUUACUCGGUAUGUUCCGCACUUUCUUUCUCACAAUGUCCAUUUUCUCUAAAGACCUCUAAUUAAUCUCGUUUCGAAUACCUCUUGGUUCCUGGUCUGCCCGCAGCUCCAGAAGUGGUAUUCUUGGCAACACCCCAAGUCCCCAGAUGGAGAAAGAGCCUCUGCUGCCGUAUAUGAGCCCAAGAAGAAAGCUAACACCACCGCCGCCGGUUCUAGCACCACUUCCAGAGCACGACGAGAUCUCUCUUCCUCUAACCCCUUCUGAGCUCAAAGACCGCCUCAUCUUUGGCCCUUCUUCCUCUUCCCCACAAGACGCUUCACCUCUGGUGGAUGCCUUGACCCUCUCUCUCGGCUCCCCAAGACCCUCUUCUUCUUCAACUUCUAUAGACCUCCGUACCCCGCAAGACCCUCAAUCACAAUCGCUGUUACAGUCCCCACAAGGUUGGCUCCUCGACCCCAAUAAUCCAUGGACCAAGAUCAAUCUUCACCGCUCUAAGACCGCGCCAGCCAUGGCGGUAAUCAACGAAAUUAACCACCCCUCUGUGCCUAGCCCGCCAUUUGGGUCCCAAUCGAUUGUUCGCCAAGCGUGUAUUCUUCUUAUGUUGUAUUUGUUCUUUGGAGUGAUUAUAUAUUGGUUCAACAAGGACGAUUUCUCGGCGGAUGAGACCCACCCGGUAGUGGAUGCUCUGUAUUUCUGCAUUGUGACGAUGUGCACGAUUGGCUAUGGUGACAUUACGCCGGCAAGCACAGCAACCAAGUUGUUUUCGAUAAUGUUUGUGCUGGUGGGUUUUGGUUUUGUUGAUAUUUUGCUUACUGGGAUGGUGAGUUAUGUGCUUGAUUUACAGGAGAGUUACUUGUUGAGGACCGUGAAGAAUAAGGGUGAGAGGGAUACCCCAAGAUCUUACAUAGUUGAUGUGAAGAAAGGGAGGAUGAGGAUUAGGAUGAAGGUGGCAUUGGCAUUGGGGGUUGUGGUUCUUUGUAUUGGGAUUGGUGUUGGUGUAAUGCAUUUUGUGGAGAGGCUUUGUUGGUUGGAUUCGUUUUAUCUCUCAGUUAUGUCGGUCACGACAGUUGGGUAUGGUGACAGGGCAUUCAAGUCCUUGUCAGGUCGUAUUUUUGCUUCAAUUUGGUUGCUUGUUUCAACACUGGCGGUUGCUCGAGCCUUUCUGUACUUGGCCGAGGCAAGAGUGGAUAAGCGGCAUAGAAUGAUGGCAAAGUGGAUUCUUGGUCAGGAUAUGACUGUUUCUGAGUUUCUUGCUGCUGACAUUGAUAACAAUGGAUUUGUGAGUAAAUCAGAAUACGUCGUAUACAAGCUCAAGGAGAUGGGAAAGGUAUCGGAGAAAGACAUUAUGCAGAUCUGCAAUAAAUUUGAUAGGCUAGACACCGGAAACUGUGGAAAGAUAACUCUUGCCGAUCUCAUGGAGAAUCAUCAUUGACAUUAAAGUACCCUUGGUAAUGUUAUUCUUAUAGCACCAGCGAAAGGCAGGAGAGAAAUACCAUAUGUUUUCUAUUCAAGUUGCAUAAGAUGAUAGUGGAACGUCACUACCUUAUCAGUUGUUCCACUUGCAAGUUUGCACUAUUUACCCUGGUCAUGGAUGCUGGAGUGCUGGGUUUUAGUUCGAGUUUAUUCAACCAAAAUGACAGCAUAUGAAGUAUUGAUCGUUACAAUUGCAUGAUAAAAUACCACCUCCCGGCAGUUUUGUUGCCCACUCAUGUGGUAAGAUGGUGAACAUUACCAUCUGCCAACUUGCUCCUAUCUGUCAAGGUAAUGCGUGGCGGAUCAGGGGUUUGGAUAUGCGGAAGAAUUUUUCCCAAUGGAAGCUAUAUUUGGUUUUGUUCAAGUUUUGUUGGGAGUAUCUUGUACAAGGGUUGGGAUUGAUUCUUUUGCAGAGACCUGGGAGAUAAAAGAUUAAGCUCAAUACUUCAACGGAAAGUGUUUUUGCAUUUGGUGGAAGGCAUCUUGAAGGGUAAUUUCAAGUUAUAUCUUGGUUUCAGAACUGUUGCUGCCAUCAUCUCUUUCAGUGUGGUUGUGAUCCUGUAUGUGACAUGGAUCGUGUAAGUCCUGUAGACAGUAUCUACUUUUUGAAAUGUGACGGGAGAUAUCACUUCAGAGUUGAGAAAUUUGACUUCCUAACUUACAUUGCAAAUUUAAACGUGGAAAUCGUUACUCUCACGUGCAGAUCGAGUUCUAGCAGUAUAGAUUUUCAGCAGAAUCCAUGAUUACCUGCACCAGUUUCUCCUUUUUGAUUGUUUUCGAGUGCGGGCUGAGUUUGCCUGUCGAUGAUCAUGAGGUUCGGGUCCUAGUAUUAAAAGAUAUCGUAUCGUAUACAAUGUUGUCGGUAACUUGGUCGGCCCACCGCUUCUGUGAGAUCGAUCCCUUCCACAGUUUUUCCACGAUCAAAUCUCAGCUUCGAUUUUUGGACGAACCAUGUUCUUCUCUUUUUGGCACUUCUCACGAGAAAGUGAAGUAUUUCACAAGAACCGAUAUAUAAUAGAAAGAUGUAAAUUUUAUUAUUUAAUUUAUAUUACUUUUACGACUUUUAUGAACAGUAUGGACCCAAAUCAUUUGAAUUUGGCCAAUGUAUAUAUUCACUUUAUGAAAUCAUAAAAAAUUGAUCUUAGUAUGCA
RNA transcript from Carya illinoinensis, 2914 nucleotides. It is a transcript of the gene named two-pore potassium channel 3-like, with no coding region annotated. Lineage: Eukaryota; Viridiplantae; Streptophyta; Magnoliopsida; Fagales; Juglandaceae. The record is from RefSeq and is a predicted model, not a curated record. The transcript has 3 exons.